GUGCUCACUUCAGCCAUGCAUAUACUAAAAUUGGAAUGAUACAGAAAGGAUUUGCAUGGCCCCUGCACAA
Molecule: small nuclear RNA, 70 nt
Filed under: Theropithecus gelada (gelada)
Lineage: Eukaryota; Metazoa; Chordata; Mammalia; Primates; Cercopithecidae
Source: RNAcentral